Molecule: unclassified non-coding RNA, 1487 nt
Filed under: Hevea brasiliensis (rubber tree)
Lineage: Eukaryota; Viridiplantae; Streptophyta; Magnoliopsida; Malpighiales; Euphorbiaceae
Source: RNAcentral
AUUCAGCAUUUCAUUUCACCAGCGGUUCGAAUAUGACAGCAAUAGAAGCGCGGGUAAUACAAACAAGAAUGUUUCUUAAACAAAUGGUAAAUGUCUCACAAACAUAUUUUGUUCAGUUUUGGAGAUCACAGAAUGAUGUGUGUGACAUUCAACAUUCAGCAACAGGGAAAGCAGAGCCAAUGCUAUCUCCCAAUCGAUAACAUUUAAUAUUAACAGGGUAUGGGCCAAUCUCGACGUGGUUUUCCUCCCCUCCAACAAAGUAACAGAUAGUGUAGAUGGCAACUUCAAAUUCAGGGCUAACUCCAAUCAAACUGCUUGACACAGAUUUGAGGACACCGUUCCAUUCAAACUGUAUAGUGAGUAGUUGAGUUUCUGAGUCGGGAAUCUCUCCACGCCUUCGGGGGAAAAUAUAUCCUUGAUAGUCAACAUUGCCCUUAGCUUCCUCUAAAUAGAACUGAAGCCAGUUGUGAAAUCCAGACACCUCUUUCUCCCCGCGUUCCUUAAUCUCUCCAACAAAAACAUGUUCAAAAGCUGAAGAGCUAGCGGAUGUACCACCUCGACUAUAAAGGUCAAACCAGAGACGUGUCAACAUUCUCUUAAGUUCUUCAUAAUCACCAGAAAUUAUGCCUUUCAAUGACAGAUACUUGUGCAGAUAUUUAAUUGGUGCGGUUCUACUGAUCUCUUCUAUGAAUGCUGUUUGUUCUCGCUUUUCUUCAGGUGUUACAUUCUCCUUAACACCCUGAUUUGGAUUAUAAUUAUCCAAAAGGGAACAGAAACGAGAAUAAGAAGGCUUGUUAAAUACGUCGUCAUUCAGCCAGGAAAAUAAGCACCCUUCUGCCAUAUCAUCCUUAUUGUACACCUUUUUCCCUUCACCACACUCAAUCUGGUAAUCUUUCCCUGGAACUAAGCGGUUAAGAUCAAGUUCCCAGAGCUUGUUGCAAGCUUUCGAUAAGUCUGAUAGCUCUUCUUCGGAGGGUUCCAUGUCAACUCCAUAUUCAACCUCAUUGGAGUAAUCUUGCUCAUCAAGAGGCUUUUUGUAAUUGUUCCAAGAAUCCAUUUUUACCUGUUGGUGCCGUUUAGUAGGCUUUUUCUGGACAGUCUCCCAGCCGUCACUGUUUCCCUCGCCCUCCUUUUGGUUCCAACAGCUUUGGUUGACAUUGUCUCUCCUCUCGUCUUCAUUUCUUUGGUACCCCUUUUGGGGCAUCAUGUGAGGCCUUGAUUCCUCAUUUCUCCCAUAUCUCUCAUCCUGUAUAUUAUAUCCAGUUCUACUAUCAGUAUUAACCCCAUCAUCUUCCUGCUCCCCUGUCACCACCUGCGCCCAACUGGAUCUUGACCGUUCAUCACGAUCUUGAUUGUCUCUUUCAUUUUCAUCAUUGCCCAAAGCCACAUUCAACAACCCUUUUACUAAACCUUCCAUUGUUGAUCAAAUCAACAAAAGGGAAUUGUUAUUAUUAUUUUUUUAUUUUCUUUAUUUUUUAUUACAAACA